AGAGUUUGAUCCUGGCUCAGGACGAACGCUGGCGGCGUGCCUAAUACAUGCAAGUCGAGCGGGCUUUGCCUUCGGGUAAAGCUAGCGGCGAACGGGUGAGUAACACGUGAGUAACCUGCCCUUAACUCUGGGAUAAGCCUGGGAAACUGGGUCUAAUACCGGAUAUGACUCCUCAUCGCAUGGUGGGGGGUGGAAAGCUUUUUGUGGUUUUGGAUGGACUCGCGGCCUAUCAGCUUGUUGGUGAGGUAAUGGCUUACCAAGGCGACGACGGGUAGCCGGCCUGAGAGGGUGACCGGUCACUCUGGGACUGAGACACGGCCCAGACUCCUACGGGAGGCAGCAGUGGGGAAUAUUGCACAAUGGGCGCAAGCCUGAUGCAGCGACGCCGCGUGAGGGAUGACGGCCUUCGGGUUGUAAACCUCUUUCAGUAGGGAAGAAGCGAAAGUGACUUACCUGUUGAAGAAGCGCCGGCUAUCUACGUGCCAGCUGCCGCGGUUUACUUAUGGCGCAUGCGUUUCCGGAAUUAUUGGGCGUAAAGAGCUCGUAGGCGGCUUGUCGUGUCUGCCUUGAAAUUUUCGGGGCU
RNAcentral lists this ribosomal RNA (583 nucleotides) under uncultured microorganism. RNAcentral's name for it is "partial 16S ribosomal RNA". It matches the Rfam family "Bacterial small subunit ribosomal RNA", at positions 8 to 610 of the family's 1533-position model. The record is from RNAcentral.